Molecule: unclassified non-coding RNA, 337 nt
Filed under: soil metagenome
Description: partial contains 5.8S ribosomal RNA, internal transcribed spacer 2, and large subunit ribosomal RNA
Rfam family: 5.8S ribosomal RNA (bases 1-120)
Source: RNAcentral
GAUGAAGAACGUAGCGAAAUGCGAUAAGUAGUGUGAAUUGCAGAAUUCAGUGAAUCAUCGAAUCUUUGAACGCACAUUGCGCCCCUUGGUAUUCCAUGGGGCAUGCCUGUUCGAGCGUCAUUUGUACCUUCAAGCCUUGCUUGGUGUUGGGUGUUUGUCUCGCCUCUGCGCGCAGACUCGCCUCAAAACAAUUGGCAGCCGGCGUAUUGGUUUCGGAGCGCAGUACAUCUCGCGCUUUGCACUCAGAACGACGACGUCCAAAAGUACAUUUUUACACUCUUGACCUCGGAUCAGGUAGGGAUACCAGCUGAACUUAAGCAUAUCAAUAAGCGGAGGA